UAACAGUCCAAAGAGAGGGAAAAAAUAAUAAUAGAGUUAUACUGUACAACAUUGUCCAACUUAUUAUUUUCGGUAUUAGUGUGUAUCGUAUGUUUAAUCUAUUGAAUCGGAUGCGAAUUGUCCACCGCAAACUCACUAAUGGAUGAAACUUUUGGCAACUUAUCAAUUUUUCAGUAAGAGAAAACGUUUCUGACAGAUGUCAAUGAAAAAUUAUCAAUGUUAAGAAAAAGGAAUCGGUUAGAACAUUAGCCGGGAAUAUUAUAUGUUAUAUCAAAAGCCAGCAAUUAUUGUCCUUAUAUCCUACAAUGUAUUCUACCUGACACUCAUUAAUGCCAGCUAGUUGAAAUUCGGAUAAGUGAAAUGUAGUUGGAUUAUUUCGAGUAAAAUAUCGAUUGUUCCACCUUGUUGGUCAUCCCUAUCGCAUUCUGGUAAACACACACACACAUAACCACAAAUUAACGUCGUAAAAUCUGUGUUAAACUCCGUGGUCGGCAGAUGGCGCUGCUCUUUUCACGUCACAAACGAUCGUUAAAGACGGAAAAGUUAAGAUCAAACAUAUAGUUGACAGAAACAAUCAUUUUUUUACUGGGAAACUUUUGUAGCUCGCCUAACAAAUGGAGAGAGAAAGUUUAAAAAAGAAAAGUGAAAAAGAAAGCUUUAAAGGUAACCGAGCGGAGGGGAAAAGGGAGACUCGUUAUAACACUUCCGUCGGCGAUUAUGUUUUUUCAAUUCUCUCUCUGUCACGUGGCUGAUGGAACCAAUAAUGGAGCUCUUUUAUUCCUCUUCAGCAGUCCAUUACUGGAAUCCAAAAGUAUCAUCGGGUCGGUUUGACUUUCGCUAUUCGCUCCGUCAAAUCUCAAUGUGUGGCUCGACGUCAGUAGCACCGAUAAGUAUUUUUAUUUCCCAAGCGUUAUUCUGUUACCUUUGCCAGGAUAGAAUGGGCGUGCUAGUGUGCACACCUAGCGAAAAAUUAAUUCUAACGAUGCGCAUCGCUUAGAAUGAUUUGUCUGUGCGCGUCUUGUUCCUCUUCCAUCUUAUUUACACGCAUGGGUUUUAAGUCCUUCCUCUCCGUUAUGUUUUAUGCAACAAAUGCCGGGGAUUUGUCAAAAAAUAACUUUAGAUGAAAUAUUAUUUUAGAGUUAAAAAUAACCGUGUAACAAAUCCUUAAAGAAGGAAUAUAUCCUCUCAAGGAUUUGAUAGAGAAAAAAGCGAAUUUGAUCCCAUUCCAUUUAUCACAAACGCCAUUAUGGUUGUUGGCAGGCAAACACCCAAGUCUAAUGAAAGUUUCUCGGCAAAUAAUCUUGGUCCAUUUUCUGACCAUAGUCUUUUUUGGAGAAGGGACUUCUAGUCAUGUGUGUAUGUCUGUUAUGGAACAUUCGCCACUGCUGAUGUUGUUUAUCGAUCUCCUUCUAGCUUGCCAACCAAAGUCGUUUUCUUGACGAUCCGUUUCUCCGAAACGUAACCCAACACCGACUAGUUUCGUUAUCUAAAACAUAUCUUUCAAGUACGAGCAUUUCGAGUGUCGUUCAAAAACUAUUCAGUGGCACAAGAGAAAGAUCGGCAAAGAUCUCACGAUAGCCAUUUUUUUCUUUUAUACAUAUAUAUAUAUAUAUAAUAUAUAUAUAGAUAUAUAUAUAAUUU
Molecule: long non-coding RNA, 1641 nt
Filed under: Androctonus crassicauda
Lineage: Eukaryota; Metazoa; Arthropoda; Arachnida; Scorpiones; Buthidae
Source: RNAcentral